UCAUUAACCCUAAGAGGCUAUCGAAUAAAUUGUCAUGGGAGUAUCCUCCCUUGUCAGCAUGUUCGGCCAAGCACGCC
RNAcentral lists this transfer RNA (77 nucleotides) under Shewanella putrefaciens. Its description in RNAcentral is "tRNA-Asp". The record is from RNAcentral. Lineage: Bacteria; Pseudomonadati; Pseudomonadota; Gammaproteobacteria; Alteromonadales; Shewanellaceae.